Bufo gargarizans (Asiatic toad) is the source of this 1280-nucleotide long non-coding RNA. RefSeq lists it as uncharacterized. Lineage: Eukaryota; Metazoa; Chordata; Amphibia; Anura; Bufonidae. The record is from RefSeq and is a predicted model, not a curated record. The transcript is spliced from 4 exons.
AAUAAUAACAUAACAUUUUUGUUAUUUGUAAAUCAAGCACAGUUAAUUACAAAAAGCUUUAUCUUAUCCUUGAGUUAUUCAUCCUUGAGAAGUAUCUAGAACCAGUUGUACUCCCAGAACAUCAGAUACACAUAGUUCUGAGAACUAACAAGUGUUAAGGCUGGCCGCAGGCUAGCCUGGAUUUGUGGGAGGGGCCAGUACCUGUCUUAAGCAGUCCGGCUCUCCCAGGCAGCACGUCUGCAUUCGGACGUCUGCUACUUCCGGGUGUGACGUCAUCAGCAAGCGUCCUGCACGAGUGGGUCCUCAGAGAAGCCGGGUGUACCUUUCCCUUCAGUCUGCAGCUGUUAAAGAUCGUUGUCCAGGAUAACUGCACCAAACAAAGAUUGGAGAUACCUAUAGAUCACAAUCAGAAUAACAGAAACCGCCUAGUCAUUGAAUUUUCUGUACACCUUCCGUGACACCAGCAUACGCCCACUGCAGGAGAAACAGAUGCUGUCGCAAUGCUGGAGCCCGGACAGUCUGUGAUGAAUCAGAAGACCGGAAGUUCCUGGUACAGUCAUCUGGCAAGAAUAAAAGACAUUUUAUUAUUUAUGAAUAAUAUACCAAAAUAUUCUAUUAAAAAUUGUAUUACAUUUCAGUAUACAAAAAUCCACUGAAAGUACAAGGCAUGGCACAAAAUAAAAGAAUUAGUUGACUAAAACAGUGGUGGCCAAACAGAUCACAAUCUAACAGUAGACCAAAGUCCAUAACUAGAUGAGGUUGGCCCCCCCCCACCUUGAGGAACUUCCUGGAACCUCCACCCAAUCUGUAAUUGACUAUACAUAUAAACAAAACAUUUAUUAGCGCUGGACAAGAGGCCAGAGACCAGAGUAUUUUCUCUGGCCUGUGCGAUCUCCCACUCAACCCAGCAGAUGCAUUGAGAUUAGUGUUGCUGAAGGAGAGUACAGGCCAGGGAAUCAGGCCUGAGCUAUAAUGGAUGACAGACAAAGAAGCUAGACUGGGAGGGAGGAAGGCGAGAAUGGCCAGUAGGGAGCUCCUUAAUAUGUUGUUUUUCUUGAUAUAUAAUUACUAUUGAUAAUAUAAAGAGUUCGUCAUCUGGGUCAGGAUAUCUUUAUUGACCGGCAGGUAGGAAAUAUCUGGUGUCUAGUGAGACUUUUUUGAAUUACCUCUUAAGGCUACAUGCACACGAAUGGCCAUGAAAAGCGAGCAAGCUCAGUUUUUCAUGGCUAUUUUUCAACCAUUUUUGCAUCCCUUUCCUGGCCAUCUAGAUGUUGUGCAUC